RNAcentral lists this ribosomal RNA (413 nucleotides) under uncultured bacterium. Its description in RNAcentral is "bacterial SSU rRNA". It matches the Rfam family "Bacterial small subunit ribosomal RNA", at positions 505 to 916 of the family's 1533-position model. The record is from RNAcentral.
GUGCCAGCCGCCUCGGUCCUCCGUCUUUGGCGAGCGUUGUCCGGAAUUACUGGGCGUAAAGGGUGCGUAGGCGGCCUGAUAAGUCAGGUGUGAAAUACCAGGGCUCAACCCUGGGGGUGCACUUGAAACUGUCGGGCUUGAGUGCAGGAGAGGAAAGCGGAAUUCAUAGUGUAGCGGUGAAAUGCGUAGAUAUUAGGAGGAACACCAGUGGCGAAGGCGGCUUUCUGGACUGUAACUGACGCUGAGGCACGAAAGCGUGGGUAGCGAACAGGAUUAGAUACCCUGGUAGUCCACGCCGUAAACGAUGGAUACUAGGUGUAGGGAGGUAUUAACCUUUCUGUGCCGUAGUUAACGCAAUAAGUAUCCCGCCUGGGGAGUACGUGCGCAAGCAUGAAACUUAAAUAAAUUGACGG